AGAGUUUGAUUAUGGCUCAGGAUGAACGCUAGCGGCAGGCUUAACACAUGCAAGUCGAGGGUAGAGGAAGCUUGCUCCCUGAGACCGGGCGCACGGGGUGCGUAACGCGUAUGCAAUCUACCUUGUACAGGGGGAUAGCCCAGAGAAAUUUGGAUUAAUACCCCAUAGUAUUAUUGAAUGGCAUCAUUUAAUUAUUAAAGUUCCAACGGUACAAGAUGAGCAUGCGUCCUAUUAGCUAGUUGGUGUGGUAACGGCACACCAAGGCUACGAUAGGUAGGGGUCCUGAGAGGGAGAUCCCCCACACUGGUACUGAGACACGGACCAGACUCCUACGGGAGGCAGCAGUGAGGAAUAUUGGACAAUGGGCGCAAGCCUGAUCCAGCCAUGCCGCGUGCAGGAAGAAGCAUCUAUGGUGUGUAAACUGCUUUUGUACGGGAAGAAACACUGCUACGUGUAGCAGCUUGACGGUACCGUAAGAAUAAGGAUCGGCUAACUCCGUGCCAGCAGCCGCGGUAAUACGGAGGAUCCAAGCGUUAUCCGGAAUCAUUGGGUUUAAAGGGUCCGUAGGCGGUCUAAUAAGUCAGUGGUGAAAGCCCAUCGCUCAACGAUGGAACGGCCAUUGAUACUGUUAGACUUGAAUUAUUGGGAAGUAACUAGAAUAUGUAGUGUAGCGGUGAAAUGCUUAGAUAUUACAUGGAAUACCAAUUGCGAAGGCAGGUUACUAUCAAUAUAUUGACGCUGAUGGACGAAAGCGUGGGGAGCGAACAGGAUUAGAUACCCUGGUAGUCCACGCCGUAAACGAUGGGUACUAGCUGUUCGGAGCAAUCUGAGUGGCUAAGCGAAAGUGAUAAGUAUCCCACCUGGGGAGUACGUUCGCAAGAAUGAAACUCAAAUGAAUUGACGGGG
RNAcentral lists this ribosomal RNA (906 nucleotides) under uncultured Bacteroidota bacterium. Its description in RNAcentral is "bacterial SSU rRNA". It matches the Rfam family "Bacterial small subunit ribosomal RNA", at positions 8 to 918 of the family's 1533-position model. The record is from RNAcentral. Lineage: Bacteria; Pseudomonadati; Bacteroidota.